Molecule: ribosomal RNA, 398 nt
Filed under: uncultured bacterium
Lineage: Bacteria
Description: partial 16S ribosomal RNA
Rfam family: Bacterial small subunit ribosomal RNA
Source: RNAcentral
AUACGUAGGGGGCGAGCGUUGUCCGGAAUUACUGGGCGUAAAGAGCUCGUAGGUGGUUUGUCGCGUCGUCUGUGAAAUUCCGGGGCUUAACUCCGGGCGUGCAGGCGAUACGGGCAUAACUUGAGUACUGUAGGGGAGACUGGAAUUCCUGGUGUAGCGGUGAAAUGCGCAGAUAUCAGGAGGAACACCGGUGGCGAAGGGGGGUCGCUGGGCAGUAACUGACGCUGAGGAGCGAAAGCAUGGGUAGCGAACAGGAUUAGAUCCCCUGGUAGUCCAUGCCGUAAACGGUGGGCGCUAGGUGUAGGGGUCUUCCACGACUUCUGUGCCGUAGCUAACGCAUUAAGCGCCCCGCCUGGGGAGUACGGCCGCAAGGCUAAAACUUAAAGGAAUUGACGGGG